UACGGAGGGUGCAAGCGUUAUCCGGAUUCACUGGGUUUAAAGGGUGCGUAGGCGGGCAGGUAAGUCCGUGGUGAAAUCCCCGAGCUUAACUCGGGAACUGCCGUGGAUACUAUCUGUCUUGAAUAUUGUGGAGGUUAGCGGAAUAUGUCAUGUAGCGGUGAAAUGCUUAGAUAUGACAUAGAACACCAAUUGCGAAGGCAGCUAGCUACACAGUUAUUGACGCUGAGGCACGAAAGCGUGGGGAUCAAACAGG
Molecule: ribosomal RNA, 253 nt
Filed under: uncultured bacterium
Lineage: Bacteria
Description: partial 16S ribosomal RNA
Rfam family: Bacterial small subunit ribosomal RNA
Source: RNAcentral